Small nucleolar RNA from Xenopus tropicalis (tropical clawed frog), 68 nucleotides. The record is from Ensembl. NCBI's taxonomy places the organism in Eukaryota, Metazoa, Chordata, Amphibia, Anura, Pipidae.
UUCAGCUGUGAUGAUCGUAUACCGCCCCAGUCUGAUGUCCGUGACUGAGUGGUACAAUCUGAGCUGCA